UUUUACUUUAGUGGCGGACGGGUGAGUAACGCGUGGGUAACCUGCCUUAUACAGGGGGAUAACACUUAGAAAUAGGUGCUAAGACCGCAUAAGCGCCCAGGGCCGCAUGGCCCAGGGUGAAAAACUCCGGUGGUAUAAGAUGGGCCCGCGUCUGAUUAGCCAGUUGGCAGGGUAACGGCCUACCAAAGCGACGAUCAGUAGCCGGCCUGAGAGGGUGGACGGCCACAUUGGGACUGAGACACGGUCCAAACUUAAACGGGAGGCAGCAGUGGGGGAUAUUGCACAAUGGGGGAAACCCUGAUGCAGCGACGCCGCGUGAGUGAAGAAGUAUUUCGGUAUGUAAAGCUCUAUCAGCAGGGAAGAAAGAAGACGGUACCUGAGUAAGAAGCCCCGGCUAACUACGUGCCAGCAGCCGCGGUAAUACGUAGGGGGCAAGCGUUAUCCGGAUUUACUGGGUGUAAAGGGAGCGUACACGGCAAGGCAAGCCUGGAGUGAAAGGCGGGGGCCCAACCCCCGGACUGCUCUGGGAACUGUCUAGCUAGAGUGCAGGAGGGGUAAGUGGAAUUCCUAG
Molecule: ribosomal RNA, 571 nt
Filed under: uncultured bacterium
Lineage: Bacteria
Description: bacterial SSU rRNA
Rfam family: Bacterial small subunit ribosomal RNA
Source: RNAcentral